GUCUACGGCCAUACCUAGGCGAAAACACCAGUUCCCGUCCGAUCACUGCAGUUAAGCGUCUGAGGGCCUCGUUAGUACUAUGGUUGGAGACAACAUGGGAAUCCGGGGUGCUGUAGGCUCUC
Molecule: ribosomal RNA, 122 nt
Filed under: Schizosaccharomyces cryophilus
Lineage: Eukaryota; Fungi; Ascomycota; Schizosaccharomycetes; Schizosaccharomycetales; Schizosaccharomycetaceae
Source: RNAcentral